AAUGUUUAUCGCUAUGUUUAUGUCUAUGUCUAUGUCUAUUGUUGGGAUAAGCUUGAAAGAGAAGAAGUGACUUGAAGAGCAAGUUACUAAAGAGAUAAGGAAAUUAAGCUUUUAUUAUUCUAGGAGAUAAUCUAGAAUAUAUUGUUAGGAGUUAUCUUAUAUUAUUAGGAGUUAUCUAAUAAUUAGGAUAAGGUUAAAAGCUUAUUAUAUAAGGAGGUAUCAAGGUGUGAUACAACUUAUGGGUUUUAAAGUUGCAGAGUUCAUAUGACCCAUCCUCGCAUGCCAUAGACUUGCUUCACUAACGCUUGUUAGAUACAAGCAUUCUCUGUUUCUUAGCCCCAUCUGAACUUUAUAUAGCCUGUUUUUGGAUUUCUCAGCUUUCACAAGUAGCUUACCAUCUUUAUCAAACAUUGUCAAGUAGUUUCCUUUUAAGCGUAUGUCACACCCCGACUCUGUAGCUUGCCCAAGGCUAAUGAUAUUGGAUUUCAAAUCGGGUAUGAAAUAAACAUCAUUCAUGAUUCUCGAUGUUCCAUUCAUAUCAGUGAAAGCAAUUGUGCCUUUUCCUUUAAUAUCUAUCCGAGAAUCAUCUCCAAAUCUCACCUUUCCAGUGACUGAAGCAUCAAGUUUAUUGAAAUAUCUCCUAUCUCCAGUCAUAUGGUUGCUAGCUCCAUUAUCAAGAUACCAAAGAUCAUCACCACAUGUUUCGAUUUUGCUAGGCACACAAUGUUUCUCAUUCAGGUAAACGAUCUCAUUCAUCAUGAGUUCAUCUGCAUCUUUUGUACUUUUAGCAUCGUUUUCUUGUGUUUCCUGCAACUUAAGAAGACGAUCUGGACAUUGAGAUGCAUAGUGACCCAUUUUAUCACAACGGAAACAUAUUACUUGUGAAAGAUCUCUUGAACCAUAUCUUCCACGACCUCUUCCUCUGUAGUUUCCUCUGCCACCACGUCCUCUGCUACCAUGAUAAUCUCGGUUUGAAUCUGAACUAGCAUACAUCAACUUGCUUUGAUCAUCUUGAGUCUCAUCUUCUUCAUCCCAUACUCUUUCUUCAUAAACCUUAAUCCGUCCAACAAUGUCUUCAAAGCUUGUAUUCUUCAAAUCCAAAACUUGUUCAAGAGAAGCCACUAUUUGUAUGUAUUUCUUGCGUGGGAGACUCUUAAGAAACUUUUUGACAAGUUUCUCUGUUUCAAUAUUUUCUCCUAAGGCAGCAGACUUUGAUGCUAUCUCAGCCAACCUCCCGGAGAAAGCUUCAAUAUUCUCUGAGUCUUUCAUCUUGAGGCGGUCGAACUCAUUCAUUAAGGUUUGUAACCUUGCUUCUUUUACUCUCUCUGCUCCAACGUUCUUUUCUUUGAUUGCUUCCCAUACUUUCUUCGCUGUAUCUAACUCUCCAAUUUGCAGCACCAUAGACUCUGGUAUUGCUUGGAAAAGUAGAUGCAUGGCCAUAUCAUUCUUCUCGGGAUCGUUCGCUCCUGUUUCAAUGACAUCCCACGUUUUGUGUACCUUAAGAGCCACCUUCAUCUUCAUAGCCCAUACCGUGUAGUUUGUUGUGUUGAGUAUUGGACAUUGAAUAGAUGUAGAUGCUCCUCCUUCUUUCGGUUUCUCGAUCGUAACAGCAACUUCAGACAUCGUUUUGUUUUUAGGGUUUUUAUGAUCUCAAAACACUUUUGAUUUUGCUCUGAUACCAAAUAUAGAUUUUAAGGGAGAUUAAGAACACAAGUAUAAAGAAUAUCUCUCUUUAUUAGUUUAGGAAAAUUCUCUCAAAACCUAAACUCUCAAUCUCUCUUAAAACCCAUAAGUUGUAUCACACCUUGAUACCUCCUUAUAUAAUAAGCUUUUAACCUUAUCCUAAUUAUUAGAUAACUCCUAAUAAUAUAAGAUAACUCCUAACAAUAUAUUCUAGAUUAUCUCCUAGAAUAAUAAAAGCUUAAUUUCCUUAUCUCUUUAGUAACUUGCUCUUCAAGUCACUUCUUCUCUUUCAAGCUUAUCCCAACAUUUUCCCCUUUAAGCUUGAAAUCUUCUUUCACCACAUCUUGAACUCCCACAAGAUCCCUCAUCUCUUUGAACUUAAUCCUUCCAAGAGCCUUGGUCAAAAUGUCCGCCUUUUGCUCAUUCCCCGGAACAUGCUCGACUUCAAUUUGUCCGGUCUCUACACACUCUCUUAUGAAAUGAUAUCUCCUAUGAAUGUGUUUGCUUCUUCCAUGAAAAACAGGAUUCUUGGUGAGAGCUAUAGCCGAUUUGUUGUCAAUGAGUAUAGUAACCUUUCCACACACUGUUCCGGUGAUCUCACUUAGUAGUUCUUGAAGCCAAAUAGCUUGUUUUGCCGCUUCAGUCCCUGCCAUAAACUCAGCUUCACACGAUGACAGAGCCACAACAUCUUGUUUCGACGAGCACCAUGUUAUUGGACUUUCUCCAAGAUAAAACACAUGUCCUGCAGUACUUCUACCAUCAUCCGGAUCAACAUUGUGGCUGCUAUCGCUGUACCCUACUAACUUUGGUAUCUUCUCACAUCGCUUAAAGAUUAGACCAAGUGAUGUAGUUCCCUUCAAGUACCUUAGACACUGUUUCAUUGCAGCCGCAUGGGAGACUCUCGGACUUUGCAUGUACCUGCUUAGAACUCCCACACAAUAUGAUAAGUCUGGUCUAGUGUGAAGGAGAUACCUUAAACAACCCACAUUCUUUCUAUACGCAGUGGCAUCAACUUCCUCUUCUUCCUCUGCUUUUGAAAAUUUCAAGCCCAUCUCCAUUGGUGUAUGAACACGAUUACAAUCUAUCAUACCAGCUUCUUCUAAGAUCUUGAGAGCAUACCGAUUUUGAUUUAAAGCUAUACCAUCUUUGUGUUGAAUGACUUCUAUUCCAAGGUAGUAUGUUAGCUUUCCAAGGUUACUCAUUUCAAAUUUAGAAGACAUCUCCUCUUUGAACUUGUUGAUGAUGUCUAGAUUUGUCCCUGUAACAAACAAAUCGUCAACAUAUAUAGCAAUGAGAAGAAGAUCCUUGCUCACUUCUUUACGAUAGACAGACGGUUCCUUAGAGCAUUUUAAAAACUGCAGUUCCACAAGGAUAUGAUUCAGCUUAUUGUUCCAAGCUCUUGGUGCUUGUCGUAAGCCAUAUAAGGCUUUGUUGAGUUUGUACACUUUGUCUUCACUUCCCUUUCUUUCGAAACCUUCAGGUUGAUACACAUAGACCGUUUCUUUUAGUUCUCCGUGAAGGAAAGCUGUUUUGACGUCUAGGUGGUGUAUUUCCCAUCCAUGUGAAGCUGCGAGGUUAAUGAGUAACCGUAUGGUUUCAAUUCUUGCCACUGGUGCAAAAACUUCUUCAAAGUCCACUCCAUAUUGUUGUACAUACCCUUUGGCAACAAGGCGAGCUUUGUACAAAAGAGAUAAGGAAAUUAAGCUUUUAUUAUUCUAGGAGAUAAUCUAGAAUAUAUUGUUAGGAGUUAUCUUAUAUUAUUAGGAGUUAUCUAAUAAUUAGGAUAAGGUUAAAAGCUUAUUAUAUAAGGAGGUAUCAAGGUGUGAUACAACUUAUGGGUUUUAAGAGAGAUUGAGAGUUUAGGUUUUGAGAGAAUUUUCAUAAACUAAUAAAGAGAGAUAUUCUUU
This 3590-nucleotide long non-coding RNA is filed under the name Arabidopsis thaliana (thale cress). RNAcentral describes it as "long non-coding RNA (ATHA_LNC000548)". Lineage: Eukaryota; Viridiplantae; Streptophyta; Magnoliopsida; Brassicales; Brassicaceae. The record is from RNAcentral.